AGCAGCCGCGGUAAUUCCAGCUCCAAUAGCGUAUAUUAAAGUUGUUGCAGUUAAAAAGCUCGUAGUUGAAUUUCGGGAUCAAGGGAUCGGUCAUGCCUUGGUAUGUACUGGUCUUAUUGGUUCUCACCUUCUAAAGAACCAUGAUGUCAUUUAUUUGAUGUUAUGGGGAAUUAGGACUGUUACCUUGAAAAAUUAGAGUGUUUAAAGCAAGCUUACGCUUGAAUACAUUAGCAUGGAAUAAUGAAAUAGGACAUCAGAUUCUAUUUUGUUGGUUUCUAGGAUCGAUGUAAUGAUUAAUAGGGAUAGUUGGGGGCAUUAGUAUUCAAUUGUCAGAGGUGAAAUUCUUGGAUUUAUUGAAGACUAACUACUGCGAAAGCAUUUGCCAAGGAUGUUUUCAUUAAUCAAGAACGAAAGUUAGGGGAUCGAAGACGAUCAGAUACCGUCGUAGUC
RNAcentral lists this ribosomal RNA (450 nucleotides) under uncultured Glomus. RNAcentral's name for it is "SSU rRNA". It matches the Rfam family "Eukaryotic small subunit ribosomal RNA", at positions 569 to 1025 of the family's 1831-position model. Lineage: Eukaryota; Fungi; Glomeromycota; Glomeromycetes; Glomerales; Glomeraceae. The record is from RNAcentral.